GGAUGUGAGGAUGAUCUGGCUGCAAAAUCCAUCACCCCGUUGACUGCCAGGGAUGAUCUGGCUUAUCUGUCUGGCUAGGCGAAUGUCCUCUUCCUCCCUCAUUGCUCCAUGUGUGUCCCUUCUGAAGCUGCGCCACUUGGUCAAAAAAGACGACCUUUCCUGAAUAGAGACAGAUGGGGCUUCGGUUGAGGGCUCUUCUGCUAGAAUCGCCAAACAAGCUCUCAGGAAGCCACAUGAAAACGAAAUCUUUUCCUUUAAAAACAUUUUUUAAUUUAUAUUUUAUUUAUUAAUUUAUUAUUUAUU
RNAcentral lists this small nuclear RNA (303 nucleotides) under Erinaceus europaeus (western European hedgehog). RNAcentral's name for it is "7SK RNA". It matches the Rfam family "7SK RNA". From Rfam's summary of the family: 7SK was discovered as an abundant small nuclear RNA in the mid-70s but a possible function has only recently been suggested. Lineage: Eukaryota; Metazoa; Chordata; Mammalia; Eulipotyphla; Erinaceidae. The record is from Rfam by way of RNAcentral.